AUUGAACGCUGGCGGCGUGCCUAACACAUGCAAGUCGAGCGGUAACAGGUGUAGCAAUACAUGCUGACGAGCGGCGAACGGGUGAGUAAUGCUUCGGAAUCUUCCCAUGUAGUGGGGAAUAACUAGCCGAAAGGUUAGCUAAUACCGCAUACGUCCUACGGGAGAAAGCAGGGGAUCGCAAGACCUUGCGCUAUUGGAUGAGCCGAAGUCGGAUUAGCAGUUGGUAGGGUAACGGCCUACCAAGGCGACAAUCCGUAGCUGGUCUGAGAGGACGACCAGCCACACUGGGACUGAGACACGGCCCAGACUCCUACGGGAGGCAGCAGUGGGGAAUAUUGGACAAUGGGGGAAACCCUGAUCCAGCGACGCCGCGUGUGUGAAGAAGGCCUGC
RNAcentral lists this ribosomal RNA (391 nucleotides) under uncultured bacterium. RNAcentral describes it as "bacterial SSU rRNA". It matches the Rfam family "Bacterial small subunit ribosomal RNA", at positions 30 to 419 of the family's 1533-position model. The record is from RNAcentral.